UUAGUGAUGGAGAGACAGGUAGGGUUGAACCACAGGAGUUAGUGAUGGAGAGACAGGUAGUGUUGAACCACAGGAGUUAGUGAUGGACAGACAGGUAGUGUUGAACCACAGGAGUUAGUGAUGGAGAGACAGGUAGUGUUGAACCACAGGAGUUAGUGAUGGAGAGACAGGUAGUGUUGAACCACAGGAGUUAGUGAUGGACAGACAGGUAGGGUUGAACCACAGGAGUUAGUGAUGGACAGACAGGUAGGGUUGAACCACAGGAGUUAGUGAUGGAGAGACAGGUAGUGUUGAACCACAGGAGUUAGUGAUGGAGAGACAGGUAGUGUUGAACCACAGGAGUUAGUGAUGGACAGACAGGUAGGGUUGAACCACAGGAGUUAGUGAUGGACAGACAGGUAGGGUUGAACCACAGGAGUUAGUGAUGGACAGACAGGUAGUGUUGAACCACAGGAGUUAGUGAUGGAGAGACAGGUAGUGUUGAACCACAGGAGUUAGUGAUGGACAGACAGGUAGGGUUGAACCACAGGAGUUAGUGAUGGAGAGACAGGUAGUGUUGAACCACAGGAGUUAGUGAUGGACAGACAGGUAGGGUUGAACCACAGGAGUUAGUGAUGGACAGACAGGUAGUGUUGAACCACAGGAGUUAGUGAUGGAGAGACAGGUAGUGUUGAACCACAGGAGUUAGUGAUGGACAGACAGGUAGGGUUGAACCACAGGAGUUAGUGAUGGACAGACAGGUAGGGUUGAACCACAGGAGUUAGUGAUGGAGAGACAGGUAGUGUUGAACCACAGGAGUUAGUGAUGGAGAGACAGGUAGUGUUGAACCACAGGAGUUAGUGAUGGACAGACAGGUAGGGUUGAACCACAGGAGUCAGUGAUGGACAGACAGGUAGGGUUGAACCACAGGAGUUAGUGAUGGACAGACAGGUAGUGUUGAACCACAGGAGUUAGUGAUGGAGAGACAGGUAGUGUUGAACCACAGGAGUUAGUGAUGGACAGACAGGUAGGGUUGAACCACAGGAGUUAGUGAUGGACAGACAGGUAGGGUUGAACCACAGGAGUCAGUGAUGGACAGACAGGUAGGAUUGAACCACAGGAGUCAGUGAUGGACAGACAGGUAGUGUUGAACCACAGGAGUUAGUCAUAAAUAGACAGGUGGGAUUGAACCACAGGAGUUAGUGAUAGACAGACAGGUAGGGUUGAACCACAGGAGUUAGUGAUGGACAGACAGGUAGGGUUGAACCACAG
Long non-coding RNA from Oncorhynchus keta (chum salmon), 1251 nucleotides. RefSeq lists it as uncharacterized. The transcript is spliced from 4 exons. NCBI's taxonomy places the organism in Eukaryota, Metazoa, Chordata, Actinopteri, Salmoniformes, Salmonidae. The record is from RefSeq and is a predicted model, not a curated record.